RNAcentral lists this ribosomal RNA (460 nucleotides) under uncultured bacterium. RNAcentral describes it as "partial 16S ribosomal RNA". It matches the Rfam family "Bacterial small subunit ribosomal RNA", at positions 338 to 795 of the family's 1533-position model. The record is from RNAcentral.
CCUACGUGAGGCAGCAGUGAGGAAUAUUGGUCAAUGGGCGCGAGCCUGAACCAGCCAAGUAGCGUGAAGGAUGACUGCCCUACGGGUUGUAAACUUCUUUUAUAAAGGAAUAAAGUGAGGCACGUGUGCCUUUUUGUAUGUACUUUAUGAAUAAGGAUCGGCUAACUCCGUGCCAGCAGCCGCGGUAAUACGGAGGAUCCGAGCGUUAUCCGGAGUUAUUGGGUUUAAAGGGAGCGUAGAUGGGUUGUUAAGUCAGUUGUGAAAGUUUGCGGCUCAACCGUAAAAUUGCAAUUGAUACUGGCAGUCUUGAGUACAGUUGAGGUAGGCGGAAUUCGUGGUGUAGCGGUGAAAUGCUUAGAUAUCACGAAGAACUCCGAUUGCGAAGGCAGCUUACUAAACUGCCACUGACAUUGAUGCUCGAAAGUGUGGGUAUCAAACAGGAUUAGAUACCCUAGUAGUC